This 407-nucleotide ribosomal RNA is filed under the name uncultured bacterium. RNAcentral describes it as "bacterial SSU rRNA". It matches the Rfam family "Bacterial small subunit ribosomal RNA", at positions 355 to 759 of the family's 1533-position model. The record is from RNAcentral.
UAAGGAAUAUUGGUCAAUGGACGCAAGUCUGAACCAGCCAUGCCGCGUGGAGGAUUAAGGCCCUCUGGGUUGUAAACUCCUUUUAUCUGGGAAGAAAUGUACUUUUUCUUGAGUACUUGACGGUACCAGAGGAAUAAGCACCGGCUAACUACGUGCCAGCAGCCGCGGUAAUACGGAGGGUGCAAGCGUUAUCCGGAUUCACUGGGUUUAAAGGGUGCGUGGGUGGGCAGGUAAGUCAGUGGUGAAAUCUCCGGGCUUAACCCGGAAACUGCCGUUGAUACUAUUUGUCUUGAAUAUUGUGGAGGUAAGAGGAAUGUGUCAUGUAGCGGUGAAAUGCUUGGAGAUGACAUAGAACACCAAUUGCGAAGGCAGCUUACUACACAAUCAUUGACGCUGAGGCACGAAAG